CACAAGUGACUUACCAGGAACCUAACAGCUAACAAGUGGAUUGAGCUCAAGAAACAUGGCUCCAAUUUCCACUAUCCCAUGACUCCUCCAAAGAAGACCAUGACUUUCUGAAAAAGGGCAAGGACUGAUGAAAUCAUCAGCUCAUCAUGAGAAUAAAAAGAAGGAAGGAAGCUUCGCUUCAUCUAAUUUCUAAGUUGGCAGAUGCAAAUAAUGAUGCCUACUUCAUAGCAGAGAUGGGAGAUAGCUGCUUGCAAAGUGCUUUCCUGGGUGUCUACUACCAGGUAAAUGUUUGACCCUCUCCUCUUGUGGGUAACCACUUAAAGCCUUAGGCUUCAACCUUGAUUUGAAUCCUUAAAUUUUAGCUCUGCUGGCACUUGUCUGAAACUGCAGCUGCCCCUAGGGAGUGGAGCCUGUUGGAAGCCAGUCCUCUUCCCGCUCCUUCCUGCUUUUCCUGUCUCCCUAGGUCCUGGCAUUCCACCUACUCCCAGGAUUAGUACUGCCUACCCCUUGCUUCAGACUGCCACAGCUCUCCAUCAUCAACCUGCCCAGAGGAUCUGCCCUAACAUUCCCUGCACAGGCUCUGAUGACAAGGGUGGAAACAAGUUUCUGUUCUGAUAAAAACUCAGUCACAAAAGUUCCAGGCAUUUCUGCUGAAUCCCUGUAUAAUUGGACUUAACAAAAGACAAACCCGAUCAUGUCAUGUUCUUGAUUAAAAUCUGCCUCAUAUUUCC
RNAcentral lists this long non-coding RNA (731 nucleotides) under Callithrix jacchus (white-tufted-ear marmoset). Its description in RNAcentral is "lncRNA (ENSCJAG00000080555.1)". Lineage: Eukaryota; Metazoa; Chordata; Mammalia; Primates; Cebidae. The record is from RNAcentral.